AGUCCCGUGGUGUAUUACAUUUCGGAUUGCAAAUCCGAAGAUGCAGGUUAACGGCCCGCCGGGGCUU
This 67-nucleotide transfer RNA is filed under the name Erethistes jerdoni. Its description in RNAcentral is "tRNA-Cys". It matches the Rfam family "tRNA". From Rfam's summary of the family: Transfer RNA (tRNA) molecules are approximately 80 nucleotides in length. Their secondary structure includes four short double-helical elements and three loops (D, anti-codon, and T loops). Further hydrogen bonds mediate the characteristic L-shaped molecular structure. tRNAs have two regions of fundamental functional importance: the anti-codon, which is responsible for specific mRNA codon recognition, and the 3' end, to which the tRNAs corresponding amino acid is attached (by aminoacyl-tRNA synthetases). tRNAs cope with the degeneracy of the genetic code in two manners: having more than one tRNA (with a specific anti-codon) for a particular amino acid; and 'wobble' base-pairing, i.e. permitting non-standard base-pairing at the 3rd anti-codon position. Lineage: Eukaryota; Metazoa; Chordata; Actinopteri; Siluriformes; Sisoridae. The record is from RNAcentral.